This 253-nucleotide ribosomal RNA is filed under the name uncultured bacterium. RNAcentral's name for it is "partial 16S ribosomal RNA". It matches the Rfam family "Bacterial small subunit ribosomal RNA", at positions 524 to 776 of the family's 1533-position model. The record is from RNAcentral.
UACGUAGGGUGCAAGCGUUGUCCGGAAUUAUUGGGCGUAAAGAGCUCGUAGGCGGUUUGUUGCGUCGGCUGUGAAAUCCCGAGGCUCAACCCCGGGCGUGCAUUCGAUACUGCGCGGCUCGAGACAGGUAGGGGAGAUCGGAAUUCCUGGUGUAGCGGUGAAAUGCGCAGAUAUCAGGAGGAACACCGGUGGCGAAGGCGGAUCUCUGGGCCUGUUCUGGCGCUGAGGCGCGAAAGCUAGGGGAGCGAACAGG